Unclassified non-coding RNA from Cavia porcellus (domestic guinea pig), 266 nucleotides. Its record names the gene 7SK. It matches the Rfam family "7SK RNA". From Rfam's summary of the family: 7SK was discovered as an abundant small nuclear RNA in the mid-70s but a possible function has only recently been suggested. Two independent studies have found that 7SK RNA binds the CDK9/cyclin T complex (known as elongation factor P-TEFb). The record is from Ensembl. NCBI's taxonomy places the organism in Eukaryota, Metazoa, Chordata, Mammalia, Rodentia, Caviidae.
AAAACUGUGGAGAUCUGGCUGCAACACCUACCAUCCCGUUGACCACCAGGGUUGAUGCAGCUGAUCAGGCGUCGAGGUGGGUGUUCCCUUCCUCCCUCCCUCAGCGCUUCUUGUGUGUUCCCCUGCCCAGGCUGCACACUCAAUUACAGAGAACAUAGAGGAGGACCAUGCUUCAGUGCUCCUUCUUGACAAAGACUUUCAACAAAUGAUGUAAAGAAUAAAUUUACUUAAACACAAUAUUUUUUAUGAAAAAUCUAGCGUCAUGU